UAGGGAAUCUUCCGCAAUGGGCGAAAGCCUGACGGAGCAACGCCGCGUGAGUGAUGAAGGUCUUCGGAUCGUAAAACUCUGUUAUUAGGGAAGAACAAAUGUGUAAGUAACUAUGCACGUCUUGACGGUACCUAAUCAGAAAGCCACGGCUAACUACGUGCCAGCAGCCGCGGUAAUACGUAGGUGGCAAGCGUUAUCCGGAAUUAUUGGGCGUAAAGCGCGCGUAGGCGGUUUUUUAAGUCUGAUGUGAAAGCCCACGGCUCAACCGUGGAGGGUCAUUGGAAACUGGAAAACUUGAGUGCAGAAGAGGAAAGUGGAAUUCCAUGUGUAGCGGUGAAAUGCGCAGAGAUAUGGAGGAACACCAGUGGCGAAGGCGACUUUCUGGUCUGUAACUGACGCUGAUGUGCGAAAGCGUGGGGAUCAAACAGGAUUAGAUACCCUGGUAGUCCACGCCGUAAACGAUGAGUGCUAAGUGUUAGGGGGUUUCCGCCCCUUAGUGCUGCAGCUAACGCAUUAAGCACUCCGCCUGGGGAGUUACGACCGCAAGGUUNGA
This 553-nucleotide ribosomal RNA is filed under the name uncultured bacterium. Its description in RNAcentral is "bacterial SSU rRNA". It matches the Rfam family "Bacterial small subunit ribosomal RNA", at positions 355 to 898 of the family's 1533-position model. The record is from RNAcentral.